UCCGUGCUGUUAAUGGUCUCAUUAGGCAUACUACACAAAAUGUGUAACUUAUUAAUUGUGGCCUCUCCUACGUGCAAUUGUCUACACACAUUUGUUACUCUUUGAAACAUCAAGUAAUUUUAAAACCAUGGAGUCAUUAGCGCUGCAGUAUCACUAUGUUGUCACCAGAGAAAUUGCUCUUGUUUAACUCUUGAUAUUUUUAAUGAUGCGUUCUGAAUUAUAUCACAAAUGUGCUAUGUAGCAUCUAGUUAAAAAAAUUCUUAUUCAGAAGAAUAGAACAAUUUGCAUAUUUUCUAUAUUCCUUGGUAUCAUGAAAAAGGCUAUAUUCUAUAUUCUUGAGUAACAUCCAGAGUAAAUUUCAGAGAUAAUAUGCACAUCUACUGUCAUUUGUUUAUUUAUUCAAUGUGUCCAUCUAUUCAGUGUUCCAUAAAAAUCAGCACCACUAGCAAAAGGAUUGAAGAUGCAAAGCAGAGCAUACACAUGUGUAAAAUAAGUCUUCAGACUUGAGACAACAAAGAUUGGCAUCCAUGUAAUAUCAUUAAAAUUUCAUGGGCACCUAAACAUAAGGAAUACCUUGUGAAAGUCUGGAUACAAGGAAGACAAAGAAG
Passer domesticus (house sparrow) is the source of this 608-nucleotide long non-coding RNA. RefSeq lists it as uncharacterized. Lineage: Eukaryota; Metazoa; Chordata; Aves; Passeriformes; Passeridae. The transcript has 4 exons. The record is from RefSeq and is a predicted model, not a curated record.